AUGAAAACGUCCUCUUUUUUCCCGCGCGGACUAAAACAUUUCCUGACCGUGCCGCCUCUGCUGCUGCUGCUGCUGGUGUCCACGGCGGCGAGGAGGCGGCGAGGAGGCGGAGUUCAUUGGUGUGUAAUAAAAGUAAGCUCUGGAGGAAAAUGUGACAGAUGUGGAGGAGGGCCCGUAUGUGCCAGCGAGGGGAAAGCGAGAGUGGGGACUGUCAGACAUGUCGACUCCGGCGCAGUGAUGGAUGGAGAGUGAGGUAAGACGGAUGACAUCGUCUGUCUGAGGCCAUGUUGUCAUAGCGGAGGAUUGCCGCUUGUCUCAACCUCUCAAUAUCAGAGAGCAAACUGAAGUUUGUUUACACUGCUCCAGUGGAGUGAUUUAGAAUGAGGGGCGAGGGGGACGUGGGUGGAGAAGGUAUGCCUCGCUGCAGGGUCGGAUCAGGUUUCCAAACAUUCCCUUUGAAAUCGAAUAGCAGCCAUCCCGGGCCUGCCGUUUUUUGUGUUUUUUUUCUAACUCAACCAGCCACAGUUCGGUUUACAAUCCUCAGAGGUAGAGACGAGUCCAAACACAAACACAAACAAGAGAGAAAAUGAAAAUAUCAAUAUCACUCAUUUGGUCUUUUACAUCCCAACAUUAGUCAUCAGCAUCCAAAUCUGGAUUCUGGCCAGUGAAACAAUGAAAAAAAGGGAAAAUAAGAAUUUGAGUGAAUUGCUGCCUCUAGUUUGACAAGGAGCCAAAAUAAAGGGAAAAAAAGUAGAGCAGCUUCUUUUGUGUUAUUAGUUCAUGUCAAGAAGAUUAUUAUCUCCCUGUGAAGGUAAGUGAAACACGUCCAUGUAGUCUUUUAAGGUUUGCAUCCUUUAUAUGUAAUGCUCAGUUUCAAAAAGGCAUCAUGGGAAAUGGCCUUUUCAAACCAAGUCCACAGCUGAUUGAUUUACGGUGUAAACAAUAAGACGUCCUGGUGAAAUGAUAAAAAAAGUGACAACAUCCCCGGAGAUGAACUCGCUGAACACUGUUCAUGACAACAUGGAGGUG
RNAcentral lists this long non-coding RNA (1029 nucleotides) under Scophthalmus maximus (turbot). RNAcentral's name for it is "lncRNA (ENSSMAG00000037982.1)". Lineage: Eukaryota; Metazoa; Chordata; Actinopteri; Pleuronectiformes; Scophthalmidae. The record is from RNAcentral.